Gorilla gorilla gorilla (western lowland gorilla) is the source of this 1150-nucleotide long non-coding RNA. RefSeq lists it as uncharacterized. The record is from RefSeq and is a predicted model, not a curated record. Lineage: Eukaryota; Metazoa; Chordata; Mammalia; Primates; Hominidae. The transcript is spliced from 5 exons.
GUAGAGGAGAAAGCAGGGUGGGGCUGAGAUGGGCAGGUCUAUACCUGGUCCUCCUAAUGGCCAGUACAAGUGCCAGCCUUGAUGGGGGUUGGAGGACAGUUCUCAGGCCACUGGAGCAAUAGUUCAGGGAGAAGUGGAGCAACUCUUUCUGUUCCAACUAACCAGCAUGGGGAAAGUGGGGUGGCUCGGGUUCCAUAGCUUAGCAGGUGGUAGUGAGACCUGCCUUGCUCUCAUGCUCUCAACCUAGCGGGAUACCAUCCUAUGGCCUGCCACUGGCAUUGAGCUGAGGCAGCCAGCCAAAUCACAAGCAGUUUGUCUUUGGACUGCAAUAUAACCCCAGGCCAUAAAACUGUGGCUCCCAAGUGAAACCCCUCCUAGCCCAAUUCCAGGAUGGGGAGGUUCCCGAAUCCCAUAACCUUGGCUGGAGCCAAUGCCACAUUUGCUUAUCAGUUCUGGCCUCGUUCCUGGGACUGUGCAUAGUCUGCUAAAAGAAAUCUGAAGAGAGGAAAUCAUGCCAUUAAAGUUAUAGUUGUGCCCACAAUUUGCUGCGUAUGAAUGCUGCCACAUAACCUGAAGAUGUCCGAGCAGAAGCAGGCACAGCUGACUUGAGAUGGCAGGAGGCCAAACAUGCCUAGAGAUUCCCUUCCUUUCCUUCUAAGCAGCAGAUGAGAAUUUCACAAAAUGCCACGUUAUCACAAAUUUCUGAAGAGGCUGACAGGUUAUUAAUGAGGAUAAACCACAUUGAAUAAAGUAUUCCUGUUAAGGACUCUCUGUAUCCCUUCCUUUUGAACACUGCUCCAGCCUCUUGGGACUCCAGGACAUCUUCUACAUAAUCUCAUGUCUUUUAGACAUGUCAGCUCACUACGAUUCAGCGAAAGAAUUACUAAGUGAAACUGACCACGUUUCUUGUUCCCUUCCUCCCCCUCCUUCAUUUUAAAAUUGUGAAUAUAUGGUGAUGAAGACCACAAUGAAUACUAGUGAAGUUUGGUGCUACUACUUUGAUUUGUGCUACAUUGGAAGCAGCUUUAUCCACCAUUGCUUUGCUUUGUCCUUGUAAAUGUCAACAUGUGAAAAAGUCAAAUAAUAUCUUAGUAUUAGUGUAAAAAUAAUUUUCACCUUCUGUAAUCCUUGAAAGAGAUUCAGGGAGCCA